AUCCUCCCGCUGCCUUUCGUUUUAAAAAUGGUUUGCGUCGCAACACCUCGUGUUUCUGAGCCAUGAUCACAGUGCCGAUUACCUUUCCAUUGGAUCCAAGCACCUGGACCUGCUGAAGGCAUCCAUCAGUCCACGGAUCAUCACAACGUGGACUAACUUUUUAUUUACAGUACUUGGUUAAACUGUGAUCUUGAAACUGGAGCACCAGAUAUGCAAAAAUCUUCCUGCAGACUUUGUUUGCUACCCUGACACUGCAGUCAUCCUGGACGGGGCUGAGCCGCUCUUCCUCUCUCCUCUUCCUCUCUCCUCUUCCUCUCCCCCAGAGUGACGAGUUUUCAUCACCAGUAAAGGCGAACAAGUCUGACGUCUGAUUAGCUGCUAGAAAGUAUAUUAUAUAUUCACUGUUCAUUUUGUUAUCCUGUUUGUACCUACAAUAAAAUUGAAUAUCAUUUGUAAUACUCUACAUUUUACAAACCUUUUUUUUCCUUUUCUCAGUUUUUAUGUUAUAUCAAGUAUUUACAUGUAGAUCAGGAAUUAAAGUGAGAUGUUAAAAUGCAACACUUUUAGGUAAUACCAGCAAAGAAAUGUGAAUAUUAAGCAAUAUGUAGUUAGUCAUCUAAUUUAAUAUACUGAAUAAGGCUGGAUGAUAUGACUUACAAGAUUUUUUUUCAUAUCAGAUUUGAUUUUAAUCAAUACCUCCCAUCCUCAAUUUCUAUAAUAAAAUCACAGAAAGUAUUUUCAAAAAGUGCCUUUAUUUCAAUCAUCUGUUCUUUGCGUUGUAUGAGGGAGCAUUACGGUCAGGAUACAAGAAAUUUUAAUUGCAAGAUUGCAGUCAUCGUUACAGCAGAAUAAAGGUGCAAUUUUAUAACAAUGUCUUAAAAUUACAAGAAGUCGUUUUAAUGAGAAAUAAAGAUUCAGACUGAUCUGACGUAACUAGCUCAGUCCAUGUGGUUCUGACAUUUGUCAGUAAUCAACAGGAUGUACAUUUCCACCUCAACUGACCAGGUAAGCAUUAAGGUAAAAAUAAAAAAUAGAGCAAAUACUGUAAACAAAAUG
Poecilia latipinna (sailfin molly) is the source of this 1056-nucleotide long non-coding RNA. RefSeq lists it as uncharacterized. The record is from RefSeq and is a predicted model, not a curated record. Lineage: Eukaryota; Metazoa; Chordata; Actinopteri; Cyprinodontiformes; Poeciliidae. The transcript is spliced from 2 exons.